AGGCGCUUGCUGUUUGAUCAUCAUGUUGGUCUGGGCAACACUUACAUGAGGUGAAGUUGAACUGCCUGACGCUGCCAACACCGCCGUCGCCCUCCACGGGAUGGGCGCUUGUGACGACGUGAGAGGCGACCUUGGGCGCCAGGUUGUGCCAGUCCAUCACGGCGGCGCGGAACAGGCGCGGCGCGGCCACCGGCGACGGGAUCUCUAGGGUCCAGCUGUUGGAAGCCAUGCUGGUGGUGGUCUGGGAUGAGCUUUGGCUCGGUGCCUAGGCCUAGUUUGAUACUAGUAGCUGGAGCUGCUGCUUGUGUUGCUGGAACGAGCGGCAACAAGGUAUUUAAAUAGAGUGCGGUGAGCGCGGGGUUGGUGACGCUUUGCCCGGUUGGUGUCCGGUGGUGACUGGUGAGGGCCUCAAGUUGCUGGGCGAGUCGUCGGGCUUUUCCACAAUGGAUGGCUCUGUCGGUCGAGUGAGCUUUUAGUAAGGCGGGCGUCGAAACACACGUCUUGCACGGUCUUUGUCAAAACACGAGGAUAUAUUCGAGGAGUAUGUUGACGGAAUUGGCGCCACCUUCCGCUUGCACAAUUUGGUCUUUGGUAUAUAAAAGUAGUAUGUAAUGACUGUCAGAGUUCUAGAUAUUUGACUGCAUGUCUGCAUGCUAGGAUAACUUCCAUUCUAGAACGAUAUGAGGCCCUUGACUAACAUGAAUACAUCAUCUUUUGAAUUUAGACAUGAGAAGACUUAAAUUUUGUUUGACAUAACUCAACUUUAUUUUUGAAACUGCUUUUUUUAAAUAGCUCUACGUGCAACUUUCUCGGUAUUAAAAAGUUAUUUUAUAAAAUAGCUUCACUAACAACUUUAUGUAUGGUUGAGAGAGAGAAAUGAAAGAGCGCUUUGAAAAGUUAUUUUUAGCUCUAUUUUUCUGUGAGAGCAUAAAAAAGGUGUUUGACAAAAAACAACAACAACUCACAACAGCUCAUGAAGUUGUUGGUUAAACCGUGUCACAUAGAGCCUCACUUGCUGUCGACGAAAGCUGGUCGGCAGUCUACCUUGGGGUAUACCCACGGUAGUAGUUUAUUGGUAGACGGUGCGCAAACUACGAACUCGACGGUGACGCAAGACUCGGACAAGCUUUUUAUCCAGGUUCGGCCGCCGAGUUGGCGUAAUACCUACGUCCUGCGUCUGGUUGUAUUGAUUUGUGUUGAGAGAAUAUCCUGUCCUAGGGGGGUCCCUUGCCCCUCCUUAUAUAGUCUGGAGGGCAGGGUUACAGAUCUGGAAACUAAUCCUAGUCGGUUACAAUUGUCAUAGAUAGUUCGAUAUCAAUUCCUAUUCUAACCGACUAGAAUCCUGCUUGAUCUCCACAUCUUGCUUCCUUGCGCGAAACCCCAUGCUGUCGGAUCAAGCCUUGAACUCGUCUCGUAAUGGGCCAAGCCUCCUGGCCCAAGUCUAGCCAUAAGGGUAUAGGGGUCUAUCCCCCCACACUUGCUGACAGUGAUGCCACCUUUUUCUUCUUAUCUCAUCCCUUAUGGAUCUUUUAUGAGAAACAUCUUGUUUAAUUUAUAAAAAAACUACCCUUUUUUUAAGUGACUCCUUCUUGCUCUAGCGAGAUCUUUUACCGUUGUCGAAAUGGUAACAUGAUGUACCACUCAACAUGCAUGAGAGGUAAACCACGGUACCUUUAGGACUAAUAGUUUUGACACCUACAGUACCAAACUCAAGUUAUAUAGUUUUGAUAACUUACCAAGGAUAAUAAAAAAAAACUCCUUACAAAUGCCUUCUAUGGCUUCUUAUAGGCACUUGUUAUGAUAUAAGGACACAACUAUGACAAUUAAGGAAUGGUGGGCAUCCUUAUUGAAGGUCCAUUUGGACUUUGGAUGCAAGGGGUAAUUGGUAGUUAGCUAAGAAUUAGCUCCCGUGUAUCUAAAUAGGAAUAUAUGUGCUAAUUUUUUAAUUAGCCAAGUUUUCAGCUAGUCGUUAGGCAAAUAGCUAGCCAACUAUAAACUAAUUUAGACUAAUUUUUAGCCCCAACUAAUAACUAGUGUAUCCAAAUAGAGUAGAAUUGUAAAAGAGAACGAUGGUAGUUCUAGUGUACUAUUUUUAGGAUGUCUACAAAUAACAAAAUAGAAGGGCUUUGCACGGAAAGAUGAAUUGACUCUAAAAAAGAAGGCUUGUGGCAAACCUAGUUUAGGCUUUUCAUUUCGCUGAAAAUACACUGAAAAGUACUGUUCACUGAUUUGUUGUGAGAGAAAAAUCCUGUAUCAUGACUGAUAAAUCUAAUGUCAUUGUUGUAUUCUUUUGUAACUUAAAUUUGCAAAAAUCUACAUUUUCUUUCUUUUUUAAAAGAAAAUGGACAGACAAGAGAGCUACCUUUUAUAUAGUACAGUCAGGCUUCUCCUUACGUGACCUGUCAUUUCUUAAAAAGAAAUGCAAGCUCGGUUGAUAAGGGUUUAGCCGUUUGAGGCCGCCGUUGAGCAUCACUUUUGUCUAAACUCAGAAAAUGAACUAAAAGCUGCUGUGAAGAGAUUUCGUGGCUUAUGAUUUGUUCUGGAAGCUAAAAAAAUAUUACAAAAUUCAAUAAUGAAAAUACAACAGUCAGAAGCCACAAAAUCAGCUUUUAUGUCAAAAGUACAAAAGAUACCGCUCAAACAAACAAGCCCUUAAAUGUCUUCUUCUCCCAGCUCUCUAGUGAACGCUAUAGCUCUUGGAGCUUUCAUAUUUUCCAUAAUAAUUUUAAACACUCUACCAAUAUCUACUGAAAAUGUAUCGAAAAAAUCAAAAUAUCUAUUAGAAAUGAGCAAAAUUAUCGGUCAAACUUGCAUAGAAUUCGAAAACAAAAUGCCCCUAUUCUUCCCACACAUAAAACCAUUGUAUACCCAUUUUCUGUCCCUUCUUCUUUCAAGAAAGUCAUUGUAUACCCAAAUAGUUUUCCAUCCGCCCUAUUUAUAGUCCAGUUUAUCCAGUUUUUGGUAAAACCUAGCCUAGCCCGUAGGAUUUAUCUACAACAGUUUCUAACCCACAGGUACCAGCGGUUUCCCUCCUGAUCUUCCCCAAUCGCCCACUUGCAACACCACGUUGCUCAUUGUUAACUUACUCUCCACGGACCUGUCCGCUCGUCGCGCUCGCCUCGAGCCGUCCGUGCGCUCUGGAGAUCCUAACUUUAUAUAUGGCCAUGCAGCCCAUGGCCCGGUGGCCCGGCCCAUGGCCUGACGAUUUGGCACGGCCCGAGGGACCCUGCCUAGGCCACCACCUAUGCACGCGACAUGGCCCAAGCAUGGCUUUAUCCAACGGUUGGCCCGGUAGCGGCUCGGUGAAAAUAAACUGUUGUGUAGUUGUGACUUAUAUAUAUAUGUGCCGUUAAUUGUUAUAUUGGAGAAAAUGAUGAACAAUUGGUGAAAAUGAUAAAGUGUUUUAGCACUUAGUGAAAAUGUUAAUGAAAAUGAACUGUUUUCGGCUAAACGGGUCGUGGGCUGGCACAAUACGAGAAAAACGCCAUGCUUGACGGGCCGACACGACACGAAAACCGGCCCAUAGGCCGUGCCUUAGGCCGAAGGCUAUGCAUGAAGUCCAUGGAGGCACGACCCGCAGCACGACACUGCAUGACGUUGGACAUAUAUAAUCCUAAAGCAGGACGAUUAGAAGGAAGAAGAUGGGGGUCUCCACCUGUCGUGCAGUGGAAUUCUCGUGCCUCCCCGUGCAUGGCCACGGUGCCACCAUUGACCACACGAGCGCGGCGUGGUGUGCGUCCGAAGAUGUUGUGGCUGGCGUUGAAGACAACCUCGAAGUUGUGCCUCUGUCCUCCAUUGGUGCCCAUGGGUACGCUGUUGAGCGGCGCUGGUGCCCCCUUCGUCGGCACGGGAGGAAGAACACGACCAAGUUUAACGAGUUGAGUGGUGUGGAAACGUCGCAAACCAACACGCGUGGUUUCUCCUGACACGGUUUACCGUGGGCUGAUUCACGGGUACACGGUUAGUAUACAUAUAUAUAGGGGGUGUUUGGUUCAAAAAAUGCAAAUGUCAAUUACUUUGUAAUGAUGGAAUGUAAAAGGUCAAACUUUUCAUGGUUAUGUUUAGUAAUGCAGAAUUUAUUGUCUUUAUAAGGGCCUCUUGAGGUUCUUUUGGUGUGUUUUUUUGCCUCUUGAGGUCAAAAUCUAAAAUAAAGAAUAAUUAUUUUUUUGCUAAAAAUUUUGCAUGCUGUUUAGUUAUAUUAUACAGAACAAUGGACCAAAACCAAGAAUUUUUUAGAAUAGCAGGGGAAAACACCCAUAAUCGCACAACGACAGCAUGCUACAUACCACUCAUAACAUCUCAAGUCCACACACCGCACACUGCUUAGAGCAGCUUUAUUUAUUUUGUACGAAAAAAGGAACAUGAAAGAAAAAAAAUCCAGUCUCUGAAUAUAUCAAAACAUGUAUAAGACCACCCGUGAAGUGCAAUCGCAUCCCCAUCCACAGAUUUAGUUGUAGGCGUCGGGGUUGGCGACGAGGUAGGCCUCGGCACCCUUGAAGAUGGCGGUGACUGCCUCCUUGGCCUUGACUUCCUCGCCCUUCACGUCCACACCCGGCAGCAGCUUGUAGGUCGACUCCACCUUCACCACGCUGCCGCCGCCGGCCGCGGGCUCCACCUUGAUGUGCGACGCCGCGGUCUCGACGGCCACGCCGAUGCCGCCUCCCUCGACGAGCGUCGACUUGCACUCGCACUUGUCCAUGUCCAGGGACUCGAGCUUCUCCUUCAUGAAGCUGAAUGGCAUGACUGCAAGAGCGAUCGAUCCCACGUCAGGCGCUAGCUGUUUGAUCGAUGAUCAAGCGAGAGAACAUCAUGUUGGUCUGGGCAACACUUACAUGAGGUGAAGUUGAACUGCCUGACGCUGCCAACACCGCCGUCGCCCUCCACGGGAUGGGCGCUUGUGACGACGUGAGAGGCGACCUUGGGCGCCAGGUUGUGCCAGUCCAUCACGGCGGCGCGGAACAGGCGCGGCGCGGCCACCGGCGACGGGAUCUCGAGGGUCCAGCUGUUGGAAGCCAUGGCUGGUGGUCUGCGAUGAGCUUUGGCUCGGUGCCUAGCUAGGUCUAGUUUGAUUAGCUGAUGCAAGUAGGUGGAGCUGCUGCUUGUGUUGCUGGAACGAGCGGCAAAAAGGGAUUUAAAUAGAGUGCGAUGAGCGCGGGGUUGGUGACGCUUUGCCCCGUUGGUGUCCGGUGGUGACUGGUGAGGCCUGAAAGUUGCUGGGCGAGUCGUCGCGCUUUUCCACAAUGGAUGGCUCUCCGUCGGUCGAGUGAGCUUUAUUAAUAAGGCGGGCGUCCAAAACACACGUCGUUGUCGCACACUCUUUGUCAAAACACGAGGAUAUAUUCGAGGAAUAUGUUGACCGAAUUGGCGGCUUGCCGCCACCUUCCGCUUGCACAAAUUGGUCUAGGUCUUAAAAACAAGCCAUGUAUGUCACAUUUGGUUGGUAUAUACAAGUAGUAUGUAAUGACUGUCAGAGUUCUAGAUAUUUGACUGCAUGGAUGUCUGCAUGCUGGAUAACUUCCAUUCUAGAACGAUAUGCCUUGACUAACAUGAAUUCAUCAUCUUUUGAAUUUAGACAUGAGAGGACUUAAGUUCCGUUUGACACAACUCAGUUUUAUUAUCGAAGCUGUUUCUUUAGAUAGCUUUAUGAGUAACUUUCUUGGCUGAGCUAUUUUAGAAAAUCAUUUUGUAAAAUAGUUUCACUAACAACUUUAUGCAUGGUUGAGAGGGGAAAAUGAGAGAGCUUUUUGAAAAGUUGUUUUUUAGUUCUACUUUUCCGUGGGAGCAUAAAAAAGGUGUUUGACAAAAGAAAAGAGUAAAGUCCAUCACCAGUCUCUAAACUUGUUUAGGUAUAUCAUCCCGGUCUCUAACUCGCAAAACGAUCGUUUAGGUACCUAAACUUGUUCGGCUAUAUCACUCUGGUCCCUAAACUUGGAAAUCUCAUAUAUAGGCCUUCAAACUUGUUUAGUUGUGUCAUCCCAGUCCCUAAACUUGUUUUUAAGUCUCGUCUGGUUCAAAACGGAACGAAUCUAAAAACUCUAUAAAUAACUCAUAACUUUUUCAUAUAAACUCAAAUAAAGAUAAACUUUAUAUUAAAAUUAUAGCCAACAAUGUGAUCUACAACUUUGUAGUUAAAAAGUUUUUAAACUAAAAUAAUUUAGGGUCUCAUUUUUUUGUAAGUUUAUUAAAUUUUGUGACACUAAAUGACUUCAAAUAAAAAACUUUUCAACUACAAAGUUAUAGAUCACAUUGAAGGCUACAACUUUAAUAUAAAGUUUGUUUUCAUUCAAGUUUAUAUGAAAACGUUAUGAAUUAUUUUUCUAUAUAGAGUUUUUAGAUCGCUUUGUUUUGACCCAGGUGAGACUCAAGACCAAGUUUAGGGACUGAGAUGACACAACUGAAUAAAUUUAAGGACCUAAAUGGGUAAUUUCUAAGUUUAGAAACCAGGAUGACACAUCUGAACAAGUUUAGAGACCGGAAUGAUAUAGACAAACAAGUUUAAUGACCUAAAUGAUCAAUUUAUGAGUUUAGGGACCGAUCGAGGUGAUACAACAGGUGGUGGAUUUUACUAUAAAAACUCACAACAACUCAUGAAGUUGUUGAUGAAGCUGUGCCAAAUAAGGCCUCACUUGCUGACGGUGUUGUCACCCUUUUCUUCUUAUCUCACCCUUUACAGAUCUUUUACAAGAAACAUCUUGUAAACAAAUCGUUGUCACCCUUUUUUUUUUGUUGAGUGACCCCUUCUCGCUCUAGCAAGAUCUUUUGCCGUUCUUCAAAUGGUAACAUGAUGUACCACUCAACAUGCAUGGGAGGUAAAAAAAAUGGUACCUAGGUACUAAUACUUUUGAUAGCUACAGUACCAAACUCAAGUUAUAUAUAGUUUUGAUACCUUACCAACGAUAAAAAAACUCCUUACAAAUGACUUCUAUGGCUUCUUAUAGACACUAGUUGCUAUAUGAUAUAAGGACACAACUAUGACAAUUAAGGAGUGGUGGGGUCUUUAUUAAAGGUUUGUUUGGACUUUGGAUACAAGGCGUAAUUGCUAGUUAGCUAAGAACUAGCUCGUGUAUCUAAAUAUGAGAGUUAAUAGGUGAGUUACUUUUAUAGUCAUUUUUUUUACUAGUCGUUAGUCAACAACCAGUAACUAGCCAUGUGUAUCUAAAUCUCCUACAACUAAAAAGAACAAAACGUGGAUACUUUUUGGUGCGACAUUCUAACGUGGGCCCAUAGUCCUGCCUGCUGCGUUCCCGUGGCCACUCUACAUCGUGCAUGACAUCCCUUGCGAUAUUCAAUUCAAAUCAAGAAUCGAUAUGUCAGGUUCCAGUUUUUAUACGAUUGCCAUAUGAAGCCUUUCCGCCAAAAGCCGUCCGACCACGGUGAAACAAAAAUAAUAAUAAAAUCUGCCCCAAUUCACGGACGGGUGACCAACGUGGCCAUGCAUGAAAGAAAUCGUCUAAAAAAUACUCAACUUUCCAUCUCUUCCGCUCCCUUUUCUUGAGAAAAAUGGUCAACCAUCGUGCAACUAAUCAGGAGACCAUCCCACCGAUCCCGCGUGCACAGCUGGCGGAAGCCCCUCGCGCGGUCACAAUCUCUCCUCAAUCAUGCACGGACAUCGCGUUCCUUAGGCAAAAGCAGAAAUUCCUCUCGAUCAUGCGCCGCCGCAACGAAACAUCUUCCUUUCCUGCCCGACGCCCUCGCUCUCGGUGCUUGGAGAGAUCGAGCCGAGCAUACCGGCUUCCCCUGAAGGCUUGAGACGGACACAGUUGACUGCUUCUUCGUCAUUGAUUGUCGCCAGCAACUGCGCCCUUGGCAUCGGUGUGGCCUUGCAAGAUUGGAUCUUUUUGUUUUCAUCCCAAUCAUCGCCAUGGCGGCCUCCUCCCCCUGAACGAUGAACGCAGCUGCUUCGUCAUUGAUGAUCAGCUUCUGACCCUUCACCAAUCUCUAUCCCCUAUUAUUUGUUCCAUCAUCUGUUCCACUUUCCACGAUUGAUUCAGUACUGGUGUUGCAAACUUAUUUCGAUUCUCAAAAAGCGAACAACCUGAUCGGUUUGGUAAGCAUCUUUCUAUUCCAGGCUAUCGAAGCUCUCAUUAAGCUUUUUGAUUCAGUUUGUGCCAAAGGUACGUUCUUGGCAAAUGCGAGCUGGCACCAUGAAGCAAAUUAUAGCUAUUGGAGUCCAGUAGAUAAUAUCUUGUGUGAUCUCCUUGUUCUUAAAUAGUGUAAUUUAAGAAAAAACUUAUUCAUGUUUGUUCUCUUCGACCUUUUUAGAUACAAGACACAGAUUAUUAUAUUGAUAUCAUAAUUGGUUGUGGCAUUGAGGUGUGUAAAUUUAUGCUUUUCUCUUUUCUGUCGGUGUUUAAACUCUCUUCUGAAUUCAUGCCAUCCAUUGACUCCAGGUGAGAAACACCUCCUGUUGUUUAAUUGUUUUUUUGCUCUUGCUUUCAGUAUGAAUAGUCAAAUAUAGUCAAAACAAUAACCUGGUUCAGUAGUAAUAAGGAAUCAAGCUAUUGCAACACUUCUUGUCAAAAAAAUGCAGCACUUCUAGAGUUGCUACGGGUUUUAAAAUUCUCACUUGCUGCACAUUAGGAGACGAAAUUCUUGGUUUCAGUUAGCAGAGUGACACUUAUCACUGUUAUCUAUAAGGCAAAUCUAACAACAUAGCACAGAUUGUGGACAUCAGUUUUUUUUUAGAAAGUGGACAUUGUGGGCGGCUGAGCGGGCACCUACGGGUGGGCGCGGCCGGCGUCAUGGCCAGCUCUGGGCGGGCGCGGGGUGGGGGAGGGGGGUGAUCAAGGCUGAAUCACAGGAAGGUUUCCUUUUAGGUGCUGUUAGCUUGGUUGGCUAAUCCCACACGCUUGAGGAGUUGCCUCUAGGAGGGGGCUGAAAUCACUUGGAGUUUCUUUUGAAUAUCGCAACGGGUGGAAAUAUUGAUCACGAAAAAAGUGGAAACAAAUAGCACCUUGGCUCUUUCCUUUUGAAUAUAGCAAAGGAUGCUGUAGGUGGGCGACGACGUUGUAGGCUCACAAAAUCACUGUCGUUUGCAAUAACAAAUACCUAUGAUUUAACUAUUUCUAUAUAUUGCUGAUCAUGAAUCUUCCUACAGGUACUUAAGUGGAUUUCUCAUCCUACAAUAUAUGUCUACAUGGAAUAGACCAAAAGCCACACAUAUUUAUACAGUGAGUCUAACACUUUGUCUAAGUUUUUGUAAAAGUUUUUUAACAAAAUAUAGUAUUACCCAUGCGACACACACUAAUAUUUACAUAUAUAUACUCGAAUGUGUGACAGGAUGGUACGAAGAUGCGGCAGAAUUUAUUUGUGGAUUUACUGGCACAUGAAAGAAAUGGAUAUCCGAGAUAUCUUCCCGUCGAUAUUAAACAUUAUCUUAGCCGUAUCACGGAAAGGUCUAUAAAGUAGAGUUUGUGAGCCUACAACGUCGUGCUCUUCGUGACUGUGUUUGAUUUCACAAACAUUGCGAUCCUACAAUGUCAUUUUCAAGUUGUUAUUUAAGUAGAAGAUUCUAAUAUUAUUAUCUUGUUAUGCGAUCUAUGUAUUUUAAAUAAAAAAUGUUAGCUAUCCCGUAGCAACGCACGGGCAUGCUAUCUAGUAGAGUAGAAUUGUAAAAGAGAACAAUGGUAAUUCUAGUGUACUAUUCUUGAGAUGUCUAGAAAUAACAAAAUAGAAGGGCUUUGCACGGAAAGAGGAAUGUACUGUGAAAAACAUGGCAUAACUUAUGCCGAGGCUGUUCGUUCCGUUAAAAAAAUAAGUUGAAAAGAAAGUAAUGUUCACUAAUUUAUUGUGUGAGAAAAAUAUUGUAUCAUAGCUGAUAAGUCUGUAGUGUCAUUGUUAUAUUCGUUUGUAACAUAAAUUUGCAAAACUCUACAUUUAACAUUUUCUCUUUUUUUUAGAAAAAAAUGGACAGACACGAGAGCUACCUUUUAUAUAGUACAGUCAGGCUUCUCCUUACGUGAUUGAGCAAAGCUCGGUUGAGCAAACAAGGAUGACACAUCUGAACAAGUUUAGAGACCGGAAUGAUAUAGACAAACAAGUUUAAUGAUCUAAAUGAUCAAUUUAUGAGUUUAGGGACCGAGAUGAUACGACAGGUGAUGGAUUUUACUAAAAAAACUCACAACAACUCAUAAAGUUGUUGAUGAAGCUGUGCCAAAUAAGGCCUCACUUGCUGAUGGUGUUUUCACCCUUUUCUUCUUAUCUCACCUUUUACAGAUCUUUUACAAGAAACAUCUUGUAAACAAAUGGCUUAACUCUUUUUGUUGAGUGACCCCUUCUCGCUCUAGCAGGAUCUUUUGCCGUUCUUCAAAUGGUAACAUGAUGUACCACUCAACAUGCAUGGGAGGUAAAAAAAUGGUACCUAGGUACUAAUACUUUUGAUAGCUACAGUACCAAACUCAAGUUGUAUAUAGUUUUGAUACCUUACCAACGAUAAAAAAACUCCUUACAAAUGACUUCUAUGGCUUCUUAUAGACACUAGUUGCUAUGAUAUAAGGACACAACUAUGACAAUUAAGGAGUGGUGGGGUCUUUAUCAAAGGUUUGUUUGGACUUUGGAUACAAGGCGUAACUGCUAGUUAGCUAAGAACUAGCUCGUGUAUCUAAACAUGGGAGUUAAUAGGUGAGUUACUUUUAUAGUCAUUUUUUUGACUAGUCGUUAGUCAACAACCAGUAAUGUGGGGGUAUAAACCCCUAUACCCUUACGGCUAGACUUCGGCCAGGAGGCUUGGCCCAUUACGAGACGAGUCCAAGGCUUGAUCCGACAACCUGGAGUUUCGCGCAAGGAAACAAGAUGUGGAGAUCAAGCAGGAUUCUAGUCGGUUAGAAUAGAAAUUGAUAUCGAAUUAUCCAUGACAAUUGUAACCGACUAGGGUUAGUUUCCGGAUCUGUAACCCUGCCCUCCAGACUAUAUAAGGAGAGGCAAGGGACCCCCCUAGGACAUCAUAUUCUCUCAACACAAAUCAAUACAACCAGACGCAGGACGUAGGUAUUACGCCAACUCGGCGGCCGAACCUGGAUAAAAAGCUUGUCCGUGUCUUGCGUCACCAUCGAGUUCGUAGUUUGCGCACCGUCUACCGAUAAACUACUACCGUGGGUAUACCCCAAGGUAGACUGCCGACUAGCUUUCGUCGACAGUGGCGCGCCAGGUAGGGGGUGUGCGUGCAACUUUUCCGGCGAACAAGAUGGUCACGAUCCCAGCUUCCGCGACCGUGCCCGAAGGCCUCACGUUCACCGUCGGCCAGAUCACGUGGACGGCGUGCAGCGGCGGCUUCACGACCACGGUUUCGGAAGAGAUCCAGAUCCAAUCUGAGUUCACGCCGUCUCCGACCACACGCAUGACGGCACCAAGCGCCCGACCACCGUUCCCACUCUACAAGGGAAAGGAGAUCGACUGCUCGGACCUUCUCCAAGCGCUUGAUCGCGCUGACUCCAAGCUACUCGAAGUUUCCCAACUAAUAGAUGGAGUUCUGCGUCGGCCCGACCAAGCUGCUCCAGCGGAUUUUUUCAAAUCCCGCCGGCCAACUCGUGUCGCCACACACGAACGGCUGGGAACGUCUCUGACGAUAACCUCAACCCCCUCAGGACGAUCCGUCCAGCUCAAGAAGGAAGACUAUCCUUGCGGCCUGAACAACUCGACCUCUGUUUACUCACGGCACACCCAAUCCGUUUUCAGCAAGGCGGGUUGGUCGCCGACAACGAACAAUCGUCACCACGUCAACAUGGUGACAAUCCGAGAACUACGGGACGGCCAGGCUUCCAGCACCAACUCAAGCACCGGCUCCGUCCCCACCGAGGUUAUAAACACCGAAGACGAGGACUAUGACCUGGAUUUCCCUUCAUACCCUCCGGGUUUCGACCGAUUCCCGAUAUUCCCCCCCCGGCGAGGGGAUAUUGUGUUCAAUGUCAGCGCCGACGAACCGGUCGUUGAUGGAGAAACAGAUGACCAGAGGCAACUCCGCGAACGGCGUAACGCCGAUCGCGCCCGACGACGCGCGGACGAGCAACAACAAAUGCCACCAAAUAAUCUCAACGAUGCCUUUGACAUGGUCGGGGACCAGCCAGUCUACAAAACGCCAAGCGCCAACGUGGCUGUCGCCAUGGCUAACCUGGAUCGGCUUCCCGACACCCCCGAAUGCCAGGGAGUCCGGACCAGCAUCCGAGCACACCUGAUCGCCGCAAUGGGACAGACGGCCACUCUGCUCAAGAGAGUCUAGGACGUCUCUUAUACGGAAGCCGUCUCCGACCAGACUAAUCAUAGCCGGGCCUCACCCAGCAGGCGUCACCGCAGCCGCUCCCCCGACAACCGUCGAGGGGACUCACGGCGCGACGAUGGUGGUCGGGACGCCGAUGGCCGCCGCAAGCAGAACCGCGUACGCGGCCAAGAGGAAGAUCAACACAGGGAUCUCCGCCACAACAUCCCUUCCAAAGAUGCCCGGGACCACAUCAACAGGCGCGCUGCAGAGAGAGCAGUCCACGAAAACCUGCGCCGCAUCGAGUACGAUGCAACACACGGUCCCCCGGGCCUAAGACAGUUCUCCUCGCACCUCCGCCAGGUCGUGUGGCCCCGCAAUUUCAAGCUCGAAAAACUCAAAAAGUACGACGGCAAGGAAAAUCCAGAGAACUGGAUCACCCUCUAUGACAUCGCCGUCCGAUCAGCGGCAGGGGACGAGCACGUCAUGGCUAACUACUUCCCCGUAGUCCUCGACCAGGCUGGUCAUCAGUGGCUUCUCGGCUUGCCCGAGGACUCCUUCGACUCUUGGGAAGAGCUACGCCAGGCUUUCAUCGACAACUUCAUCGCCACAUGCGAGCAGCCUGGAAACAAGUAUGACCUUGAAAGGAUAAGGGACAGGAAGAACGAACCUCUGCGCGAUUACAUCCGACGAUUCUCGGAUAUGCGCCUCAAAAUCCCGAAGAUUUCUCAUGACGAGGCCAUCUCAGCCUUCAUCAAGGGCCUGCGUUUCCACGAAGCGCUGAGGAACAAGCUGUUGCGUAAGCGUCCAACAACGGUAGCAGAGCUCCUCGCCACGGCCAAAAAUUACGCCGAUGCCGAUGACGCAGAAAAACUAAUCCGAGACGAUGCGAGGGGUCCCGACCAGCCUCCCCGACGAGAUGAUGGUCGUGGUCGCAACGACAGCAGAAAUCACCGCCGCUCCGACAACCGCGAUCAUCGAGAGGGUUGGGAUCGGCGGCGCGACAGCCGCGAUGACUUCAGAGGAAAGCGCCCUCGCGACUACGACCACGAAGUAAAUACGGUCAAACGACCCAAUGGACGACGGGACUACCAAGAAGACUACAACAAAACGUUGAGGGGACCAUGCCAACUACACCCAAAGUCCAAUCAUACCAUGGAAGAGUGCCGCGUCCUCAAAAGUAUCUAUACACGGCGGGCCGCCCAAGACGACUCCGCCAAGAAAAACAACAAGCGCGACGCGCACGACCACGAAGAUGAGGAUGAGGACCAAGAUAGGGACCCCCGACACCAAUACGUCAGCCCCACUGACGUGGUCCACUCCAUUUUCGGGGGCAAGGUCUCCACUGAGUCCAAGCGAGAAAGAAAGCUGUUAAAGAGAGCCUGCCUCAACAUAGACAGCACGGACGGGCUGAUCGCAGACCCGAAAUUUCCCACGUGGUCCCACAGGGAGAUCUCGUUCAGCAGGAAGGACCAGUGGGCCGCUAUCCCAGAGCCGGGUCGUUUCCCCCUGAUUCUUGACCCCUGCAUCAACAGCAUCAGAUUCGAGCGCGUGCUCGUGGACGGGGGAAGCUCCAUCGACAUCCUCUUCCGCAACAGCCUGCCCGCCCUCAAGAUAUCCCCGGCACAACUAAAACCUUACGACGCCCAAUUCUGGGGGGUUUUGCCAGGUCAAAGUUCCGUGCCUCUCGGACAGAUAACAUUGCCUGUCCAAUUCGGCACACCCGACCACUUCCGGACAGAGUUCAUCAACUUCGUAGUCGCGGAUUUCGACGGGACCUAUCACGCCAUACUGGGCCGCCCAUCGCUGACAAAGUUCAUGGCAGUCCCGCACUACUCAUACCUAGUCCUUAAGAUGCCCACGGAGAAGGGUGUCCUAACCAUCAGAGGCAACGUCUACACUGCGUACACCUGCGAAGAAGAAAGCUUCAAGAUCACCGAGGCAAUUGACCUCUCAAUCCGCAUGGCGGAAACAGCAAACCAAGCCGCACAGCUGCCUCCCGACCAGCUCCGAUUACCCGAACAGGCGACAGCCAGGAAGAACUCAAAAUCCAAGGAGUACAAAGAAGUGCAGCUGGUCGAAGGCAACCCCGAGAAGACAGCCCUCAUCGGGGCCAACCUGGAUCCAAAAUAGGAAGACGCGCUCGUCAGGUUUCUAAGGGACAACGUGAGCGUUUUCGCAUGGAAACCCGCAGACAUGCCCGGUGUCCCACGAAACCUGAUCGAGCACUCCUUAAAUGUCUCGAAGACCGCAAGACCAAUCAAGCAAAAACUGCGACGGUUCGCUCGUGACAAAAAGGAGGCUAUUAGGACAGAAAUAACACGGCUUCUAGCAGCCGGAUUCAUAAAAGAAGUGUAUCACCCCGAUUGGCUCGCCAAUCCGGUUCUUGUACGCAAAAAGAAUAAUGAAUGGAGAAUGUGCGUUGAUUACACUGAUCUCAACAAACACUGUCCUAAAGAUCCUUUUGGUCUCCCUCGCAUCGACGAGGUGGUCGACUCAACGGCCGGAUGCGAACUCCUCUCCUUUCUAGACUGCUACUCUGGUUAUCACCAGAUCUCGCUAAAGGAAGAAGAUCAGAUCAAAACAUCCUUUAUCACACCCUUCGGCGCAUACUGCUACACGACCAUGUCUUUCGGACUCAAAAACGCCGGAGCCACUUAUCAAAGGGCCAUCCAGCAAUGCCUCCACGACGAGAUUCGUGAUGACCUCGUCGAGGCCUAUGUGGACGACGUGGUCGUAAAAACAAGGGACGCGAGCACCCUAAUCGACAACUUAGACCGAACCUUCAAGGCACUUAAUAGGUACAAGUGGAAGCUCAACCCCAAGAAAUGCAUUUUCGGCGUUCCUUCCGGUCUACUGCUCGGCAACGUUGUCAGUUGCGACGGCAUACGACCAAACCCUUCAAAAGUAAAGGCGGUACUCGACAUGCGACCACCGAAGAACGUAAAGGAUAUCCAAAAGCUAACAGGAUGUAUGGCCGCCCUCAGUCGCUUCAUCUCAAGGCUAGGAGAAAAAGGCCUCCCUUUCUUUAAACUGUUAAAAGCGUCGGAAAAAUUUUUUUGGACAGAAGAAGCCGACACCGCAUUCAACCAGCUUAAGACCUUCCUCACUUCACCACCUGUCCUUACAGCCUGGAGUUUCGCACAAGGAAACAAGAUGUGGAGAUCAAGCAGGAUUCUAGUCGGUUAGAAUAGAAAUUGAUAUCGAAUUAUCCAUGACAAUUGUAACCGACUAGGGUUAGUUUCCGGAUCUGUAACCCUGCCCUCCAGACUAUAUAAGGAGAGGCAAGGGACCCCCCUAGGACAUCAUAUUCUCUCAACACAAAUCAAUACAACCAGACGCAGGACGUAGGUAUUACGCCAACUCGGCGGCCGAACCUGGAUAAAAAGCUUGUCCGUGUCUUGCGUCACCAUCGAGUUCGUAGUUUGCGCACCGUCUACCGAUAAACUACUACCGUGGGUAUACCCCAAGGUAGACUGCCGACUAGCUUUCGUCGACAAGUAACUAGCCAUGUGUAUCUAAAUAGAGUAGAAUUGUAAAAGAGGACGAUGGUAAUCCUAGUGUACUAUUCUUGAGAUGUCUUGAAAUAAUAAAAUAUAGAAGGGCUUUGCACGAAAAGAGGAUGUGAAAAACAUGGCUUAUGCCGAGGCUGUUUGUUCGGUUAAAAAAAUAAGUUGAAAAUAAAGUAAUGUUCACUAAUCUAUUGUGUGAGAAAAAUAUUGUAUCAUAGCUGAUAAGUCUGUGUGUCAUUGUUAUAUUCGUAACAUAAAUUUGCAAAACUCUACAUUUCUCCCUUUUUUUUAAAAAAAAUGACAGACACGAGCUACCUUUUAUAUAGUACAGUCAGGCUUCUCCUUACGUGAUUGAGCAAAGCUCCUGCCAUUUCUUAAAAAAAUGCAAGCUCGGUUGAUAAGGGUUUUGCCGUUUGAGGCUUCCGUUGAGCAUCACGUUUGUGUAAACUCAGAAAAUAAACUAAAAGCUGCUGUGAAGUGAUUUCGUGGCUUUUGAUUUGUUCUGGAAGCUAAAUAAAUAUUAAAUAAAUUUAAUAAUAAAAAUACAGCUACAAAAUCAGCUUUUAUGUCAGAAGUACAAAAGGUACCGCUCAAACAAACUAGCCCUUAGGGGGGCGUUUGGUUGCCUACACCAGUCCUCCUGAGCCAGGCUCUCCGCGUGCGAGAACAGACAUUUGUUUGGUUGGCAUAUGUGCCGAGCGAGGCUACACGCGUGCAAAAAGCCUCUCGCAGCCAGGCUCUGCUGAAACGCAGAAAUCGGCCGUUUUUGUUGGGCCUGGCUCACCUCAUGCGAGCAAGCACUGAACGAUGCAUGACGUGUGAGAUAGAGAUACGUGAACACGGUGAACCAAACAGAUGCUGCUGUUGGCCUAGCUGUAGUGAUCCAAGUAACCAAACAAGAUGCUAUCGCAUACAUAGAGCCUGGUCAAAGUUGGCCUGACUAGCUCUGUGCGAGCUAGGCUCUACCGAGCAACGAACCAAACAGUCUCUAGAUGUCUUCUUCUCACUGUGUGAAAAAAUGGCAUUACAGACGCGCCUUUACUGAUAUCACAGAUGCUCCUGAGUGCGUCAGUGAUAUAAAGUCUGAUAAAUAUUUAAUAAGACCUUAAUACUGACGCACUUCUAACAUCCGUAUGUAAGUAACACAUAGACACGUCAGUAGUAAAGCUUUUUCAGCGACGCCUAUCUAGAACACACGUCAUUAAGGUCCAGCUCGUCAGUACAAAAUUCUAACUGCAGACGCUUCUUCAGGAAUAGGGGUCUGUAGUAAGGAUUAAGCCACAGACGCAUUAUCCAGAGACGCGUCUACAGUAUGAAUUAAAUUGUAACAGUACCAUCGGCAUAUCUCUGUACUAAAUACCUCAAUGAAACGACAUAAAUACACAUCAACAUCUCAUUAAUUAGUACACAGCUUUAACACAAUCAAAUACAGAUCAAAGUUUAAUCACUAAAUUAAAUGUGUAGCUCUAAUAAAGUCACGUUACCUUAUGGCUGGCUAUCGAAUAACUUAUUUUGUAGCUUGAUCAAAACUGGCUCGUGGUCACCAGCGCACCAUGUGUGUCCAUUCAUCCAUGGCAGCUUAGGCGCGUGGCUUUGGCUUUGUGUCUCCCACCUCUCUAGUGAACGCGAUAGCUCUUGAAGUUUUUAUAUUUUCCAAAAUAAUUUCAAUUUUAAACGCGUACUAAAACAAAUUCAGGGUUACUGAUACAAAAUAUGAGAUCGGGUCGUAGAAAAAAGUGCCGAGAGAAAAACUUUUAGAAUAAAAAUAUAGAAAACUUUUGAAGAUGAUUUCUUUUUUUACUCCUCAUGUUAAUCUAGGAGUUCAUAAACAUGAUAUUUUGGGGAAUAUAAUAUAAAAGAUCUCUUGGAGAUGCUAUCUUUUCUUCCACCUCUCUAGUGAACGGUAUAGCUCUUGAAGCACAAAUCCAAUUCUACGGACGUUCAUUCAUUCUACCUCUUGAAGCUUUCAUAUUUUCCAAAAUAAUUUCAGUUUUCAAGACAUAUUCACUGGAACAGCCUCCCAAUAUCUAUUCAAAAUGUAUUCACACGAAAAAGUAAAUAUAUAUUCCAAAUGAGCAAAAUUCCUUAUUUGGUCAAACUUGCGUAGGAUUCCAAAAGGGUUUUUUUGAACGGUGCCAUUACAAUUUCAAAGUAUUUGAAAUAUGCCAUUAUAAUUCAGGUAUCCUGAAGCGGACCAUUACAAUUCUUGCAAAAUUUGAAAUAUGCCAUUGGAUACGGUAGAAGGACGCUUGGGCCUGCUUGCAAGCCGACGUGGCAUACGGUCGACCGUAUGCGCCCGUCGCCGUGAGCCAUCUAAACGGCGCGGCAAAAAACGCCGUCUCCACCCCGCCCCUGACUCAUUCUCGCUCUCCAUCUCUCUGUCUCUCUCGAGCGUAACCCUAGGCGCGGCGGCGGCGGCGUGGCGGCGGCGGCGCAGGGGGAGGCAAUGGAAUAGGGGCGCAUGUCCAUGGCAGACGUGCCCCCGUGCACGGCGCAGCGCAGGGCGCCGCGGAUGGGGGAUAGCAACGAAAGGUAAUGUUUUGUCCUUCCAGAGCACGAAUACGAGUGCAUUAGGUCUUGAUCUGUUGAUUGGCAUUAGAUAUUGAUGUGAUUUGGUUGAUGCUAGGGUUCCGCUAUUUUCUUUAGAAAUUAAAGUGGAAGCAUUCUGUUGGAGAGACUCUUUGGGUAGGAAAGCUUACACAAAGGGCUCUGUAAUUAAGUGGGAUGUGGAGAUUGGCUCGUUUUCAUUUGAUGUACUGAUGGCCAGCUUGCGCAAUGCUGUCAAUUGCUCUACUACUCAGUGUCCAGUUGCUUGGUUCUAUGAUAAAAGGUUGUCUCAAGAUGUCAUGCUAGAAAAUCAAUUCCAGAUUAAUGAUAUGUUUGAGAUGUAUAAGGAGGAGAUGCAUUGCCACAUUGUCGUAGGGGUAUUUGAUCAGUCUGUUCCCACUAUUGAUCAAUUUGAUGAACUAGAUCUUCCUCCUGACACUAGCACUGGCAACCCAGCCAGUACUGACAGUUAUGUUAACCAGCCCACAUUUGAGGCAGAUGUUGCACCAGAGGCUGAAGUUGAGACUCAACUUGAGCCUGAUAGGGAACCUGAUAUGUUUGAUAACGAUGAGGAGUAUGUGGGUUGUGAUGAUGAGGGCAUGUACAUGCCAACACCACCAACACAGCCUCCUAGUAAUUCACCUCCACAUGCUUCUCAUGAUGCUGAAAAUGCUGAUGCUGAUGCUGAUGCUUUUCCUGUUGAGGCAGAGGUCACUGAUGCAGACCCUGAAGAGAUCAAUAUCAUUCAUGACCCAGAACAUCCCAAGAUUGUAAAGGGGGAGUUAUUUCCUGAUAUUGUUUCAUUCAGGAAAGCUAUCAGGCAUUUCUCUGUUACUAAAGGCUAUGUGUUAGCUGGUAUCAAAACAGACCCAUCAAGAUUUAUUGCAAAGUGCAAAUCCGAGGGAUGUCCUUGGCGCAUACAUGCAUCUAGGCUGCAGGGUAGAAAGACAAUACAGGUAACUGUCUAUUCACUAGUUCCUUUGUGCAAGUUUUAUUUUUUCUUUACCUGACAUGUUUCGUAUGCACAGAUCAAAGUACUGCCUGCAGAAGAUGGCAUCACAGUCUUGGUGUGCAGAUAGGCUGGCAGAUUGGAUAAAAAAACAUCCAACAAAACGUGCAAAAGAGUGCAGGGAGAAGUUGGAAGAUGAUUAUGGCAUCAAGCUGAAGUAUUCAAAGGCUUGGUCAGGUAUGCAGUGCGCAUUGGAUCAAAUCCAUGGUAAAUAUGAGGAAAGUUUUCAACUGCUAUUCAAUUGGGGUGCUCAAAUUGAAAAGGUAUCUCUUGGUAGCACUGUAGUGGUAGAGGUUGACAAAAUUGGUAAGAAGAACAGAUUCAAAAGAAUGUUUGUUGCUCUAAAGCCUUAUGUAGAUGGAUUCUUGGCUGGUUGUAGGCCUUUUUUGGGUAUAGAUGCAUCUUGUUUGAAUGGAAAGUAUAGAGGUCAGCUAGCUUCAGCAACCAGUGUAGAUGGACAUAAUUGGUUGUAUCAUGUAGCUUAUGGCAUUUUUGACAUAGAAAAUGAAGACAACUGGACAUGGUUCUUGCAACUUCUUAGUAGAGCAAUUGGGCCUGUCCCAAAUCUUGUAGUUUGUACAGAUGCAUGCAAAGGCGUGGAGAAUGCAGUGGGUAAAACUUUUCCAACAGCUGAGAAUAGGGAAUGCAUGAGACAUAUGUACCAAAACUUUUAUGAAGCACUAUUCUAGUGAUGUAUUCACAGACCACCUUAUCCUACAGCUAGAAGUUACACUCAAGAAAAAUUCCAGUGGCACAUGAAUCAGAUACAUGAGUAUGCUCCUCAAGCUAUAGAAUAUAUUGAGAAUUACCACAGCAGGAUAUGGUACAGGUGUGGGUUCUCAGAAAGUAGCAAGUGUGAUUAUUUGACCAACAAUGUGUCAGAAAGCUUCAAUGCACAGGUGAAGCACCUCAAAGGUUUAUUAUUACAUGAACUGGUAGAUGUUGAUAUUUGGUAACGCAAUAAGGAAAUAAUCCGCAAGCGCACGGAUAUCGGUGAGCAUUUCACCCGGGAGGUUUUCCAGAGUAUCGUAUUUAUAUUUUUACCACUGGGAGAAAGGGUGCAUCUGACUAACCAAAUCUAUUGCUACUAUCCCUUUAGGCUACAAAGAAUGUUUCUCAAUGUGAGUGAUAUAUAGAGAAGACUGCAACCGUAGUCUCGUUCUAACCUUGGUAAGGAUGAUCUACUGUUCUAUUGGGGAAGCUUACGGAAUCUAGACACCACAAAGGAUGUUUGACCCGCACCUAUAAACCUACCCGUCCUGCUAACAAGAUAUGGGAUACAAAGGUAACUCGGAAAUGUCACGUUCCUCGCUACUACCACGGUCCAGCUAGUCAGGGGAUAUCUAUGAGUACCCUAGUGAAAGGUCCUAAUAUGGCUAGAGGGGGGUGAAUAGCCUAUUUAAAAAUUCUACAAACUCACUAGAGCGAGAGGUUAGUAAAUAACAAAGCGAAGCCUUUUGCUCUAGCUCUAAUGGGGUGUUUGCAAGCCACCUGUCCAACAAUUCUAGUUGAUAUAAUCACUAGACACACAAGAGCUAUGUCACUACUUACACUAGAAAGCUACCUAAAGUUUCUAUACAAGUAAGUAAGCUACUCUAGUUUGCGGGAAUGUAAAAGAGAUGGUUUUAACUUUAUACCGCCGCAUAGAGGGGAUGAACCAAUCACUAAUAUGAAGUCCAAUCACCGGGAGAAAUCCAAUGAACAAUCACAAUGGAUACACACAAUUUUACUCCCGAGGUUCACGUGCUUGCCGGCACGCUACGUCCCCGUUGUGUCGACCAACACUUGGUGGUUCGGUGGCUAAGAGGUGUAGCACGAACCUCGUCCUCACUAGGACACCACAAGAACCUACCCACAAGUGAGGUAGCUCAAUGACACGAGCAAUCCACUAGAGUUACCUUUCGGCUCUCCGCCGGGGAAGGUACAAGACCCCUCACAAUCACCGGGAGAUGGCCACGAACAAUCACCAACUCGUGCUAAUCCUCCUCCGUUGCUCCAAGCCGUCUAGGUGGCGGCAACCACCAAGAGUAACAAGAAAACCGCAGCUAGAACGAUCCCCAAGUGCCACUAGAUGCAAUCACUCAAGCAAAUUCACUUGGAAUCACUCCCAAUCUCACAAAGAUGUUUAAUCUAUGAAGGAGAUGAGUGGGAGGUGUUUGCUUAGGCUCACAAGGAUGUUAUGUAUGUUAGAAUGCCAAGAGAGUGAGCCCCAAGCCGGCCAAACACGUAUUUAUAAGCCCCUCAAGCAAAUAGAGCCGUUGGCACUUUCACUGGGCAAACUGCGGGGUCACCGGACGCUCUCAAAGGGGCACCGGACGCUCAACACCAGCGUCCGGUGCUCCAACGUCAGCCAUGUGUCGCCUUUUGAAAAACUCGUGUCAGAGUCUAACGGUCACCUGCAGUGCACCGGACGCUAAGCAAGUUAGCACCGGACGCGUCCGGUGCACACCGGACUCAUGCGCAGAGAGCUCCGCAAACUCGCACGGUCACCGGACGCAAGCCACCGGACGCACCCUGAGCAUCCGGUGCUCACCGAACUCAUGCGCAGAGAGGGUUGCAAAACGCCCUCACACCGGACGCUAACCACCGGAAGCGUCCGGUGCUCACCGGACCCAUGCGCAGAGAGGGUCGCAAAACGCCCACACACCGGACGCGCACCACCGGACGCUCAAGCCAGCGUCCGGUGCCUAUCGUCCGGUGCCUUACCCUAGCUGGGCCAGGCACUGUCUGCACCGGACGCUCAGACGCAGCGUCCGGUGCUCCAGAAGCCAGCGUCCGGUGAGUGUUUUCUCAGCGAGAAACACUCCCACGACUACUCCAAAUUUCCUACCGACGCAAUAGAAAAUAUGCAUUUUAUUUUCUCGAAAAGCGCCGAAUCCCACCUCGCAAGCUCGGCGGGAGGGAGAGAGGAACCCAUCCUCUCUCUACGUACUCUUCAAACUCCACCUCCUUCUCAAAGUGUGCCAACACCACAAGUGUAAACCAACAAGUGUGCACGUGUGUUAGCAUUUUCACAAUCAUUUUCUUAGAAGGAGUUAAGUUAGCUCACUAGGUUCUAAAUGCAUACACAUGAACAAUGACACCUAGUGGCACUUGAUAACCGCUUAGCCAAAGAAUUCCCCUCUUUAUAGUACGGCUAUCUAUCCUAAAUGUGAUCACACCCUCUAUGGUGUCUUGAUCACCAAAACCAAAACCCUAAGCAAUACCUUUGCCUUGAUCUCCAUAGGGUUUUGUUUUUCUCUUUCUUCUUUUCCAAGUUGAGCACUUAAUCAUCUUGUGGUCAUCACCAUGAUCAUCAUGAUCAUCACUUGCUCCAUCACUUGGCAUGUACCAACCUCAUUAAGUCUACACACACUUAGUAUAGAGGUUAGUACUAGGGUUUCAUCAAUUAUCCAAAACCAAACUAGGGCUUUCACCUAGCCUAAACACCACGUUUACGCUAGCAAUAAUUACUCUAAUACUCAACCGGAAGAGGAUUAAAUUAAACUCAUAAACCAAAGAACAAUAAAACAAGAACUUACUAGAAUUAGAAGUCGAAUUACUGAAGAAUCUUAGAAGCAAGCCUCGGGUUAGAAGACUUGAUCCCGCAGGUACAACUCGGAGUAGACACCGACAGGUCGGCCUUCCUCCGAUCUACACCUCCACUCUAUCUCUCUCAAUCUAGUAGAAACUAGAAGAUCUAUUUCUACUUACAUUGGUUGCUAAGCCUAAAAAAAUAUUAUUUAGAGAAGAGGUUUUCCUUCGAGGGCACCCCUCAAUCUCUAUGAUAACUUCUUGUCUUCUCCAGGGGCCAGGGGGGUCUCCUUAUAUAGUCCUCCUCCUCUAUGCGUUUUUGGGUCGGUAGGCGAUGUGGUACUACAUUAUCCUUGAUCCAUUAGGUCGGUGGAACAUCGUGUGCGAAGAGAGUCCCGAACGGAGUCUAGGACACGGCGGGCGCCCAGGGAAAGAGGGCGGGCGCCCUGGGCCUGGCCCCUUUCGGCCUCUGCUUUCUUCCCGUGGCUUCUGGAGUCUUCUAGAUGGUAGAAAAUUACGCGGUGCGUUGAUAUCUCUAUGUAAUCCCGACAUGUGGGCCUUUCUUCCGUAUUUUUUGAUAACCCCCUGCAGAAAUAGACAAACACCAAAACUCAUGGAAUUCUGUCAGAUAAAACCCUAAGUCUAGAUGUUGAUUUCAUUUGGAUCCUUUUCUUUGUUUAUUUGAUAAUUAAAUUUGAUACUUAAGGACCGUCAACAGUAGACAGAAUUAGAGAGCUUAUAAUGGAGAAGAGAUAUUUGAGGAAGAAAGUUGCUAGGCAGUGGGAAGAUGGAAUCCUCCCAAAUGUGAUGAAGGAUUGUUGGGUAUUCUUAACAUCAUUACCAAAAGUAGACUAAGUUCUCUAAAUCUAGUAACGGUGCCAAAAAUGCCAAACCUAUCCCUCACACCACUUAAGCCAAGUUGUCAUCCCCAGCAUGACAUGAGAGACGCGGUAUUGAAAUAUGCAAUUGCUCUUCUAAAUAAAUAAUGAAUGAGAUCUGCAAGCGCACAGAUUAAUACCGAUGUAGCAUUUUAACCGGGAAGUAUUCUAGGUAUCGUUAUUUAUAUUUUUACCACUGGGAAGGGAUUAGCAAUCAUCACUAUUGAUUACAGAAUAGAAUAUGAGAUUGAGCAUCUAUCAUUGCAUGUAUAAUUGAGAACAUUUAUCUAACUCUUCAUACAGGGAUAAGUGUCACAUAAAAGAUAUAUGAAAUAAUAAUAGUGACAAGGAUAACUAAUCUGAUCUAGCCACAUAAUAAAUAUGAUAAGCACCUCAAUUAGAUACUCUAGAAAGUCAUUAGCAUGGUAUUAGAACGAACUAUAAGAAUAUUCCCUAAGUUAUUCUCAACUAUAUAGUUUAGCAUUAUCAUAGUUAGUGCAAGCAUACUUAGCAAUCAUUGUGAGACAAGACUACGCCCAUGCAUAGUGAUAUUAGCAAGGAAUAUGAGAAACAUAGCAAUCACUCCCCUAUAAUAAUGUUGCUCUGCCAGCCCAAUACACGAGAGGGGGACUAUAUAAGAAUCAAUGAAGCUGUCACUAUCACGAACCACCCCACGAUCUGGCAUAUUGGGUACAAUCGCAGAUAAAUAUGGUAUAAGCACCACGCCUACACAAUAUCUAUCAUUUACCCAUGGAUCCGAUGGAUAAACGCUAUACGAUCCUAAGCAUGUAUAUAGAUCGAAUCUAACUAAGCCAAGUACAUAACUAUGAUAAACUAAGAACAAUAUAAUCUUGAAUAUAAGCAAGUAGAGCAAAGUCAUAAGCAAUAUAUUGAAGUAGAACAAAGUCAUAUUUAUAAUAUUGAAGAACAAAGAUAAUUAGAAAGUAAUUAGAAGCACAAUUAGAGAAUUACCAAGAAUCCUCUUGACAGAUCCGGAAACCAAUCGAAGAUUGACUCCUUCUAGUUCUAAUCCUAUGUAGCUAUGCUAAUCUAGAUAUCUAAUUGAUGUGGUGGCUCUAAUCUUGAUCAGAGGCUUCUUCUCCCUUGAAGAACAAUGAAUUAGGGUUGAGAGGCUCCCCCCUCUAGGGGCCAGGGGGUCUGGUUUUAUAGUCCCUUCAAGUGAAUAUGGGCCGUUGGAUCAAACCGACAUAGAUUGUAUGGUUUAGAUUCAUCCUUUAGGUCGGUGGAAAUCUCCCACGAAGCAGAGUCCUGAUUGGACUCAGGAGGUGGGCGGGCGCCCUGAUCACCUGGGCGGGCGCCCAGGGUCACGCCCCGUUUCGCCUCCGCUUCGGUUUCGUGGCUUCUGGAGUCUUCUAGAUGUAAGAUAAUUGCGCGACACGUUAAUAUCUCUAUGUAAUCCCGACGUGUGGGCCUUUCUUCCGUAUUUCCUGAUAACCCCCUACAGAAAUAGACAAACACCAAAACUCGUGGAAUUCUGUCAGAUAAAACCCUAAGUCUAGAUCUUGAUUUCAUUUGGAUCCUUUUCUUUAUUUAUUUGAUAAUUAAAUUUGAUACUUAAGGACCAUCAACAAGGAUCUCAACCUGAUCAGUACUCAACUCAAUGUAGUCAAGGUCAAAGUCAGUGAUGAUAACACUGCUGAAGUUACAAUCCUGGAGUGGGAGAAGCAAAGGAGGCACACUGUGGACCUAGGAAACCACAAUUGUUCCUGCAGGCAGUGGCAAGUGACUGGAAAGCCAUGUAAGCAUGCUUUGGCUUGGAUACUGUCAAUCCCAGGGAUGAGAAUUGAGGAUUAUGUACAUGAGUACUAUUCAGUUGCUAGAUUUAAGGCAGCUUAUGCUGAUAGGAUUGAGCCUAUCCCAGACAAGGAUGAAUGGCCUGUUGUCAACCUUGGUUUUAAAGUGUAUCCUUCAUUGCUAGGCAGAGGUCCAGGAAGGCCAAGGGUUGUAAGAAUUAGAGGGACUUUUGAGCAGAGGGCCACGAAGAAGAAAGUUAGGUGCAAGAGAUGUGGUGACUUUGGACAUUUUUCCAAGACCUGCAAGUUGCCAGAACUAGGUGAAGAUGGAGAAAGAGGACAAGGGUCUUCAAAAAGGUAUUAAAACUAUUGUCUAACCAUUUUAUUAUUUUUUCCUAUGUACUAAGAUCUAACCGGCUAUUGUCAUCUCAACGCAGAAAGAGGCCGACUCAGCAAGUGUCAUCACAGGAAGCUCCAACGCAGGAAGUACCAACACAGGAUGAUGCUGGACCUUCCCAGGUGAAGAAGACCAAGCCUCUGAAGAAGGUUACAACUAAGAAGAAGAAGAAGACACCAAAGAAAACAAAGCUGCAGAGGGAAGCAGCUGCACCUGGGAAGGCUGUUAUCAGCAGCAUCAGGCACCUGAUCUAUGAUGCUCCACAGGAUGCUGAUCUAUGAUUCUCCACAGGAUGCUGAUCUAUGAUGCUCCACUUAUAUGGCUUUGUUCUGAACCUUACUAUGUAAUGAGGCAUUAGAAUGCCAACUUGGAACUUGUAUGGCUGAUGCUGCUACUAUGUAAUGAGGCAUUAGAACUUGCCAACUAUUUUCAGUCAUGUGAACUCUACUUAUGUUAGUUUGUACUCUCCUGUAUUGUGUCAAUUAUCAUGUGAACUCUACUUAAAAUGUUAAGAAAACAAGACAAAGUGCUGCAGAAAUUCUAAUAUAUUUUGAAGCUGAAAUUCUAAUCUAUUUUCAGUGACAAAAGGCAUAGGACAAUGCUGAUCAUACUCAUCGAAGAAACUCAGUGACAAAAUGCUUGUUCUUUCAUUGCAAAUACACAUAAUUACAGUCACUUCAUCAUCUGAGAAAAACCUACACCUAGCAGUACACCCACAAGGACACCUACAACAACAGAUACAUCCAACACAAUUUGCAUUUUCCCCUUCCUGCCCAAGUCCAGUGCUGGACUCUGAUUACUAACUUGACUAGGAACAGCAACAACAUCUCUGUCUCCAAGUUGCACCUUCAUUUUCUCAAGUUCAGUGACAACUCUAUCUAGAGUUUGCUUCAUCUCCUUGUCCCGUUGAUUCAAAUCAUCAUUAGGAUCCCCAACUGCUGAAUGAAGGGGCAACUGCAGCUGAAUCUCUUUCUCCUUUUGCUUCAUAAACCAUGCCUCGUACUGCUCCUCCGAACGAAUCCAGCCACAAGUUGUUGGAUCACCCUGUGCAAGCAACACCAGUCAAAUUGAAAACAAAGGAAGCACAUUCAAGGGCAUAAACAAUGCAAAUAGUUACCUUUACGUUGUUUGGGCACUUGAUGAAUGCGACAUCCUUUGAGUGCUCUUGCUUGCUCACGAUUCGGAUCAAAGGAACAUUGCACACUGGGCAGUUCAGUAGGGGGCACUGCACCCUUCUACUGCCAGCAGCGGAAGAGCUCGAGGCCAUCUUCAUCUGCAGCGCCGCCGUCGGGAUCGUGGCACCGGAAUCGCCGCCGCCGCGCCUAGGGUUACGCUCGAGAGAGACAGAGAGGUGGAGAGCGAGAAUGAGUCAGGGGCGGGGUGGAGACGGCGUUUUUUGCCGCGCCGUUUAGAUGGCUCACGGCGACGGGCGCAUACGGUCGACCGUAUGCCACGUCGGCUUGCAAGCAGGCCCAAGCGUCCUUCUACCGUAUCCAAUGGCAUAUUUCAAAUUUUGCAAGAAUUGUAAUGGUCCGCUUCAGGAUACCUGAAUUAUAAUGGCAUAUUUCAAAUACUUUGAAAUUGUAAUGGCACCGUUCAAAAAAACCCAUUCCAAAAUAGAAAGUCCUUUUCCUUCCCAAACAGAAAACCAUGUUUAUCUGCCAACAGUUUCUAACCCAUGGGUCCCACGGGUGCCAACGGUUUCCCUCUUGAUCCUCCCCAAUCGCCCGCUCACACCACCACGCCGCCACGCCGCUCAUCGUUAACUUCCUGCCCUCCACGGACUUAUCCGCUCGUCGCGCCCGCCUCAAGCUAAUGACGAAUCUAAUGAGUAGAAGAGUGAGGGCAUGUGUCCUUAAGGAAAAAAAACGUCUUCGACCAGAAAUCUCCACCUGCCGCGCUGUGGAGUUCUCGUGCUGGGGCUCCUCCCCGUGCGUCGCCACGGUGCCGUGGCUGACCACACGAGCGCGGCUUGGCAUGCGUCUAAAGAUACAGUGGCCGUUGUUGGAGAUGACCUUGAAGCUGUGCAUCUGCCAUUCUGCCUUCCAUUGGUGCCUAUGGGGUACACUGUCAAACAGCGCUGGUGCCCCCUCCAUCGGCGCGGGAGGAAGAAGAUGACCAGGUUGAGCGGUGUGGAACCGUCGUAAACGAAUCUGCGCGGUUUCUCCCAACACGGUUGACUGUGGGCUGAUUUACGGGUACACGGUUAGUAUACAGCAUCGUACAUACCACUCAUAUAUAUAGUCAUAUAUAACAUCUCAAGUCCAUACACGGCACACUGCUUAGAGAACCUUUAUUUAUUUUGUAUGAAAAAGGGACAUGAAAGAAAACCAUUCUCCGAAUAUAUCAAAACAUGUAUAAGGCUGCCCGUGAAGUAGAAUCGCAUCCCCAUCCACAGAUUUAGUUGUAGGCGUCGGGGUUGGCGACGAGGUAGGCCUCGGCACCCUUGAAAAUGGCGGUGAGUGCCUCCUUGGCCUUGGCUUCCUCGUCCUUCUCGUCCAUGCCCGGCAGCAACUUGUAGGUCGACUCCACCUUCACCACGCUGCCGCCGUCGGCCGUGGGCUCCACCUUGAUGUGUGACGCCGCGGUCUCGAUGGCAACACCGAUGCCGCCGCCCUCGACGAGCGUGUUCUUGCACUCGCACUUGUCCACGUCCAGGAAAUCGAGCCUCUCCUUCAUGAAGCUGAACGGCAUGACUGCAAGAACGAUCGCGCACGUCAUUCGCUAGCUAUUUGAUCGAUCGAUCGGGCGACAACAUGUUGGUCUGGGCGACUGGGCAUGCUGCGGACACUUACAUGAGGUGAAGUUGAACUGCCUGACGCUGCCAACGCCGCCGUCGCCCUCCACGGGGUGGGCGCUGGCGACGACGUGGGAGGCGACCUUGGGCGCCAGGGUGUGCCAGUCCAUCACGGCGGCGCGGAACAGGCGCGGCGCGGCCACCGGCGACGGAAUCUCCAGGGUCCAGCUGCUGGCGGAGGCCAUUACUUCAGUGAUCGGCCGAGAUAAACUAAACUAGGUGCGAGCCGAAGCUGCUUAGGUGCUUGUGCUGCUGCAGGUGGUUUUAGGAUUGCGCUUUUGCUUGCGUUGCCAUUAGAGUGGCGGACGGAGGACUUUAAAUAGGCGGUUAUGGCGGGGUUGGUGGCGUCCCGUGAGGAUGAGACGCUCGGGAGUCGUCGUCGGCGGCUCUUCCCACUUUGGCUUGGCACGGCACCGUCGCUCGUCGGUCCAUGUAGUUCAUUAUAAUAUACUACAUGUUGCCGGGGUUGCGGACAAACGUCUGGAAACGUGCUGCCAUUCCGUCAGCGUUCAACCCCUGAAGGUGUAGAAUAUAUAUCGUCGAAUUGGCGAGCCAAAUCAGCUUCCAGAUCAAAAAGCAUGUACUGUAAGCGUGGGUUGGUGUCAUUAGAAACGAGAAUUAUACCGUACGUGAGCGUCCUGACUACUUGCAUCACUCUUUUGGUGUCGCACUGUCGCUAUUAACUACUAAUAAUAAACAUAAUCCUGUAAAUCCACCUCUUUUUAAUCAUCCUAUAAAUACCUCUACUGGCGACAGCAUGGACAAAGCUCAUACGGAAAAUAACAUAGUGGUGGCCAAAGCUGUAUGGGAAAAUAUUGAUUGCAGACUAUCAAUUGGGUGCAAAAGUACUCAGUGUAAACUAUUAAUUAAGUGCAAAUAUAAAGACAAUUGCUAUGUCACAGUUGAUUGUUUUAGCCUCCGUGAAUAACUGAUUUCCUGGCCGUUUGAUUCUUAUCACGUGGGAUGAAAGAAAGACCAACAACGCUGCGGAAGCAGAGCGUGAGGAAGGACCGAAGGAGCCACCAGGGGUCCACUGAUGUCGCCAUUAGCACCAAGGAGAGGCCGUCGUCAGAGUCAGAGUCAGGGUUGUAGAGGGCUAUCACGUCCGUUGUCGAGGUCGGGGUGGGGUAAAGAUGGCAAUGGAUAAUUACCCGCUGGGUAUAUGCUACCCAUACCUUUACCGAUGAGAAAAUAUUUUACCCGUUAAUUUACAUAUCCAUGUAUGGGUAAGAGUUUUUUCCCAUACCCUUACCCACGUGGGUAACGGGUAAUCCAUGAGUUUUCUUACCCAUGAUUCUAAGAAUACUUGUAAAAAAUAAAUACAUAUUUAAAUAUUCUAGACUCCCAAUUUCAGCCAAAGUAUCAUAAGUCAUUAAUAAAAUCAUCAAAUAUACAAGCUCCAUGAAUACCUAAUCAAGUAAUCUAAUAGAUAAAUCCAUCAUUACUAGACAACAAGUGACAAAAUUUACAAGUUUCCGUGUUGUGCGGCCGCCGCAAGGAGAUAGGGGAAAGGUGAGAGAGCGGAUGUGUGAGGUACUAAGGUGAGGGCCUAGAGUUUGACAGCAUUAUAUAUGAUUUUUAUUGGACUUGGCCUGUGUAUGGUGAUUUUGGUCCAUAAUUCUAACUUAUUGAAUCGGGUCCAAUCCCAUACCCUUACUCGCUUUACCCGCUGGCUAAAGCUUUUUCCCAUUAUCUUACCUAUGGAUAAAAAAAAUAGUCAUACCUUUACCCUAAUGAAGUAAUUAACCAUCGGAUUUCGAGUAAAAAUUGACAUCUUUAAGGUGGGGAAUGGCCGCCGCAUCUACCAUAGCCACCUGCUUCCUGAGAUCCAUGGGGAAAGAGCCCGCCGCUAGCCGAGGGUGAGGAGCCGCCGCCUCUGUGUGGCCAACUUCAUGUCGGGCCUCUACCGUGGCGGGGGUAGCUCACAGAAGGGAAGGGAUAAAGUUGGUGAGGGUGGGUCCCACCAUAAUUGGUGAAUAAUUUGCCAUGUAUUUCUCUAAUAUCUACUAUCUAAAGAAAUAUUUUGUAUUUUUUUCUGAAAAGUUUGGCAUAUUUGUCUUUGAGAUAUGUAAUCUAUAAAAAUACCUAAGAUAUAUCACUAUAUCCAAUAAAUGACACUAUGUGUUAGCAUUUUCUCACUACAUUUUCAAAGGUGUUAACACACUAGAUUCUAAUGCAUAUGCAUUAUCAACAACAGCUAGUGACACUUGAUAAACCGCUUUUAACCAUAAUUUUCCUCUCUUUAUAGUACAGCUAUCUAGUCGACUAGUCCAAACCCAAUUAUAUCCUCUAUGGUAUCUUGAUUGGCGAAACAAGAAUGGCCCUAUCACAUACCUUUGCCUUAAGCUCAUUUUUAUUUUUCUCUUUCUUUUUUUCCAAGUUGGAGCACUUGAUCUUCACACUUGACCACCUCCAUCAUCUAUAGAUGCCAUAAUCUAGCUGGUGUGUACCAAUCCUAUUUCCUAUCUUAUAUACACCUAAAGCAAUGGUUAGUAGACUUAGAUCUCAUCAAUUAUCCGAAACUAAACUAGAACUUUCAUGUAGUGACACAACAUCUACUUUCUCUCACCCUUCCUCUUUCAUGGAAUGCAAGCAUUCAUACAUCAUUAGUAUGUUGUAUGUAAUGAGUCUCUCUAGCACAAACACCGACUGUUCUUCCGAAAUCACCUUUGGGAAAAAAUAAUCCACAGUCUGUUUGCCACCGUCUUAGAAGCAAUCUUAUAUAUCAUGUUACAUAGACUGAUGAUAGGCCAAAACAGCCCGCUCGACCAACUUCUCCACUUUUGUGAUCAAUACUAUUCAUGUGCUAUUUAUCACAGAAGGAUCAUCCUCGCCACAUAAGUCCUAGUGCCGCUAAAAAAAAUGAGCAGGAAAACCAUCUGGCCCCGGCGUUUUUGUCUUAAACAUGUGAGAAAGCUUAGUCCUGAUCUCCUCCUUUCGUAUACAAGGCGAGUGUCCUGACAACUACUUGCAUCACUCUUUUGAUGUUGCACUAUCGUUGUUAGCCUUAUCAUUAACUCCUUUCCUCUCUAAUCUCUAGAAUUAAGCAAAGAUUUGAAUGCUUUCUCAAUUUACCAUCAUAUAAUUAUUAUAUUAUAAUAUAAUCAAAUAAAUACACCUCUUUUUAUUCAUCCCGCAAAUAUAUCUAGUGGCAAUGAGUAUGGAAAGAGCUAAUACGAAAACUAUCAUAGUGGUGGCCAAAUACAUGAGAAAAUAUUCAGUGCAAACUAUAGAUUGGGUGCAAACAUAAACCCUUUAUAACAUAAUUAGAUGUUUUCUUAAAAAAAUGCCCACUUCGCCACUAAAGUUAAGAUACAAAGAAAUGGGGUGGGGGUGUGAUGCAAAGAUAUUGGAGAGUGAAUCUCUUCUUUCAAACCUCCCAAGAAACUAGUCACAAAGUAAACAUAAUCGUAGGAGCUAUUGUACAAUAGAAUUUGAUGCGCAGGCUGUUCAAGCUACUCAAAUUACUGUGACCGAACUAGUCUACUGAAGAUGAUUGUUUCAUACAUAACUCAUAUUGGUCACGAUUAAAAUAAUUACAAACCGCAUCACAAGAGCAGGCCAAGAUGUGAAACAACCACACAACUCUUUAAAUUGUAACCAAGUGGCAGCGGUCCUCCAGAACUCAAUGCAACAGAGCUAGGCUUCAAUGUCUCGCUGAUAGAGUACAUCUCAAAAUAGAUCUUACAGUGAUCCUUCCACAACCAUAAAUUGUCACCAUCAAAUUUGGGGAAAUAUGAUUUGGGCAUCGGACCAACUGGAGAUGUAUAAGAAUAUGAAUGUUCCAUCGGUCCACCUAUCAUUCCCUUGUACUUGCGUGCCCGUUAGUUAGCUAUUAUGUUCCUCUUUUUUAUUGGAUCCCAAACACCUCUGCUUCUAGACCAACUUCCAUCGUCGUCUACACAUAUCCCAUGGAGUUAGAGCAAGUUUAAUUAAUACAGUCCACUUGCUGACUGUAAGGUUCCUUACAGCCUUCUUUCAGCCCCACCCAUACAAUAGUUAGUUAUUCAUUAUUAAUACAUGACUCACUUAUCUCUCUUACAAAGUUUUCAGCUUACAACAUGCUUCUCUUCUCUCUCCUCCACCUCAGUAUUUAGCCAGCUUACAGCCCACUAUAAUACUUGCUCUUAUGACAAAUGCCUACUUCUCUCGCCUUUUUAGUGAACACUAUAACUCCUGGAGUCUUCAUAUUAUUCGAAAAAUAAAUUCAAAUUUCAACAAUGACACAUUCAGCAGAAUAAAAAGUCUCCAAAUUUCUAUUAAAAAAGAGCAAACAUUCCUUAUUCAGUCAAACUUGCAAAGGAUUUCAAAACAGAAGACCUCGUAUAACCAUGAGGGUGUAAGUAAUCUCACAAACAAAGCAUCACAAACCACUUAUAAUCUCAAGUCCAUACACGGUACACCACACACUGCAUAGAGCAACUUUAUUUUGUUUUGUAUGAAAAAAGAGGAAAACUCCAGGAAAGAAAAAAGAAAAUUAAACCCAAACUUCAGGAAGGGGAAUCGCAUCCCAAUCGACUGAUUUAGUUGUAGGCGUCGGGGUUGGCGACGAGGUAGGCCUCGGCACCCUUGAAAAUGGCGGUGACUGCCUCCUUGGCCUUGACUUCCUCGUCCUUCUCGUCUACGCCAGGCAGCAGCUUGUAGGUCGACUCCACCUUCACCACGCUGCCGCCGCCGGCCGCGGGCUCCACCUUGAUGUGCGACGCCGCGGUCUCGAUGGCAACACCGAUGCCGCCGCCCUCGACGAGCGUGUUCUUGCACUCGCACUUGUCCACGUCCAGGAAAUCGAGCCUCUCCUUCAUGAAGCUGAACGGCAUGACUGCAAGAACGAUCGCGCACGUCAUUCGCUAGCUAUUUGAUCGAUCGAUCGGGCGACAACAUGUUGGUCUGGGCGACUGGGCAUGCUGCGGACACUUACAUGAGGUGAAGUUGAACUGCCUGACGCUGCCAACGCCGCCGUCGCCCUCCACGGGGUGGGCGCUGGCGACGACGUGGGAGGCGACCUUGGGCGCCAGGGUGUGCCAGUCCAUCACGGCGGCGCGGAACAGGCGCGGCGCGGCCACCGGCGAUGGAAUCUCCAGGGUCCAGCUGCUGGCGGAGGCCAUUACUUCAGUGAUCGGCCGAUCGACUAAACUUGUGCUAGCUGAAGCUGGUUAGGUGCUCAGCUCUAUGGGUGGCAGCUACUGCUUGUGUUGCCAUGACACUGGCGGACUGAGGGCUUUAAAUAAUAGGCCGUUAUGGCGGGGGUUGGUGGCGUCCCGUGAGGAUGUGUAUGAGACGCCCGGGACGGAGUCGUCGUCGGCUCUUCCCACUUGGGUUGGCUUGGCACGGCACCGCGUGACUCAUCGGUCCAUUAGUCCAUUAUUUUAUCGAUAUCAAUAUGUAUGUUGCCGGGCUGCGGACAGCCGGACACACGUCACCAAACGGGCUGCCAUUCCGUCAACGUUCAACAUCUAGAAGGUGUGGAAUAUGUCGUCGAAUGGCACACCGUCGGGUCUGUUUGGAACGAAAGUGAGAGAAAAUACAGGAAAUAGAUAAGGAAUACAAUGGUCCUGUUUAAGUUAGAGGUUAGAGUUAUUCUCUAGUUUAUGACUAGCCCUCAAGUAACUCUAGCCAAAGAGAUGUUUGUAUGCAAGGGUUAGUGUUGAUGCAAAACUGAUCUGCAAACACAAAGGGCUAAUACCCGAUCCAAACGUUAAGGCGUGCCAGCCGAUUUAACCUUACUAUCGGCAAAGGUGAUAACUCGAAUACUUUAGUCCUGACAACAGCGAUGCGCCCGGAUGUCACGGCUAAGAGGUACUCACGCGGAACUUGAGAACACGCCGAGCUUAAGUCGACGAAUUCCUAAGAACUCGUAGUAAAAAGGAAAAAGUACGACGAAGUCGUCGAAAAAGUAGAUGCUGGAAUAUGAGUAAAAACGUGUGUUUGAUUGAUUGAUAGAUAGCUCAUUACAAGGCCCUAGGGUCUAUAUUUAUACCCUGCUCAAAGAGCUACAACCAGACACGAUUAGAAUUCGAAUUCCAAACUACACGGAAUCCGUAUACAAAACGAUGUAAAUAAUUAAAGAAAUAACAAAACUAUCCCCCGUGACAAACUGAAACUCCUCCAUACAACGACCGGCAGCUUCCGGACUCCCUCUUUGCAUCAUCGGCAGAUCUUUUGCCAUAGUCAUCGGCAGACUUUCUUAUCCAGUCAUCGGCACAAUCAUAUCACUGCCUGUAGACUUAGUCACGUUCAACUUCUCCUUCAUCGGCAACCAUCCUCAUCGGCAACUCACCCUGUAAACAUCGUACUGCCAUCUUAUCCUGCCAUCCUAGACACGUGCACAAAAACGGUGUCAACACAUGCCCCCCAGUUUCGGAGUAUAAAACUAUUAAUGCUCCGAAAUUCUCUGCAGUAAUGAUGCCUUUUCCCGCAAUUAAUGCUCCUAAUCUGGUAACCGACAACCUCAAUCUGAACAACUCUGAUCCUAUUCCUCCGCAGAUUCCUCGAAAUCCCCAACUUCCUAAACGGGCAUUUCUUCUCAGUCGUACGUCGGCAAUAAUACCGUUACAAAGAUUUGCCGAUGUUCUGACCAGGAUAUUCGCACAAAUGGUUACUUCCCCUCGAUCCGCCCAUCGGCAAUAUGACCGUUAUAGAAUGCUGCCGAUGGACCGACCAGGAGAUCUAGCACAGUAAAAUAUCUUCAGAUAAUGACCGCUUCCCGUCAAAUCACCUGCACAAUCCCUGGAUUAUCGUGCGAACAGUUACCAUAUCUUCCUGAGUACCCUCGGAUCUCUCGGAAGCGGCAAAGAGAAAAGUCAGAUUUGCCCUUGCCCAUUUCGUCCUAUAAAUAGUUCCUUCUCGGGUACUCCUUCCCUAUCACAUCAUUCCACCACCCAAGUUUACUUUUCCAGCGGCGGCGCCAUCCGAAGCUCCCAAGACCUCCAACAAGCAUUCUUCCUCAUCAACCCCGGUGUCUUCAAACACUUCCUUCGCAGCAAGAUGGCCGUCGGCUUCGUCGUUCCUGAGGUCAAAUCUCCACCCCGUCUCCUGUAUUUUUCUUCAUAUCCCUGUUCACUCGCAAUUCAUUUUACUGAAUAUCUCCCUUUUCUUUUCUCUUUGUAUUUCUUUUUAUCCCAAAAAUCACUAGGAAUUGUCCAAUAAAAUUGUCAUCCCCACUGAUCAACCACACCUCCAAUGUCUCGGUCCUCUAGGAGAUCCAGAUCCAACCGACCUUAUUAAUGCAGAAACCAACAGGAUCCCCUUUAGAACUGAAAAUUUUUCUUUAGAUCUGUGGAAAGAUACCUUCCGUUCUUGGCCUAGCCCUACCGUAGGGUGGAAAGACUGGUUCUUGAGAGUCAGCAAUUCUUAUGAAGUCCAGUGGGGCGAAAGGAAGCUAGCCCAAUGCAUUAGAUUGUCCAUUGCCGAUAUGCAUAGGAACGAGUCAUGCUGAUAGCUGCAUCCUACUUUUGGUCAGACACCCUCAAUGCUUUCGCCUUUGGCCACGGCCCUGCUUCUCCUACCCUUGCCGAUGUGGCCAUGCUUACUGGUCUAGAUAUAUCUUCUGCCGAUAGCACCUACUUUUUUGAUACUGCCCCUAGUGCCAAAGUGGAGACUCGCGCUAUCGGCGGUUGGUCAGGGUACAUUCAGAAGUACCGUGGGAAAGGAUCCGUCACCAUAAAGGAACAAACCACCUUUCUGAACAUGUGGCUGGACAAGUUUGUAUUCUGUGGUCGAUCGGCAGGACCAACUUCCGUUUAUCUAUCGGCAGCGGAGAGACUGGCUAACGGUGGCCAAUUUCCUCUCGGCCGAUACUUGCUUGGCGCUGUUUACCACCUUCUCCAUCAGGUAGCCCAGAAACUCCUGCUCGGCCAGUCCAUCGGCAACCUGGGAGGCCCCUGGUGGUUUAUUAAUAUGUGGCUCAAUCUGCACCUGCAUAAGCGCCUUGAUUUCAACUUGUUCACACAGCACUUCCCAAGAGAUAUAGCCGAAAACCAUGUGUUGGGUGAAGAGGAAUCGGCAACGCGUGCCCCCUUGAACUUUGGCGAAGCUGUCAUCGUUCUACCUGGUUCAGGGAGUAAUCCGGAUCAGAUCGGCCGAUUCUUCCAGGUUCUGUAUGAGGGUUUGGCCAGAGACGAACGACCAUGGUUGGCUUAUGAUGACCCAGAUAGCAUGCUCCCUCUGUCCUUCAAUCCAUUUGAUGAAGCUCUCGACAGGGACAAUGAGACGAUGAUGGCAAUUGUGACUCCCAGAAUCAUUCCAGUGAAUUUUUUUUGGUAGCACAAAAACCUCUCCUCAGACUUAUGAAUUUUACAAUCCAUCGGCAUUAGCUCGCCAGUUAGCUUUCGGCCAGUUGCCGAUUGCACUUCCUUAUGCCGAUGUGAUAAAACCCAGAGAAACCAUCAACAACCUCCUUGAGUGGAUUCGAGUAGCCCAACUACCACCAAACGCCGAUACAGAUGUAGAUCUGUCAGAAUGGGUUCCGGCUGCUUUUAUCACUCAGGCAUACAAGUUAUGGUGGGCAGAGUGGAAAGAGCAUCUAUUCUGCAGAUCGGCCCUUUCAUACCGCGGCAUGAUCGACUCCGAAUACGAAGUUCCCGAUGACACUGUAAGUAACUCAAACCGAUGUUCCAUUUUCUCAAUACUAUUUCCAUCGAUAGCUUACCCUUGUAUUCCUUUCGCAGGUUGACAACAUCCCCCCAUCGGUUAGCAGGAGCGGCAAGCCGAUCGACUUGUUUCCAUCAGGCCCGAUUUCCUCCAUCGGCCACAAUGCUCCUAUCCUGGCUUCCAUCGUGCAUCGGGGUGUGCGUCUCAGGAAAGUCACCACCAGGAGAACCCAGACAUCACCAACGGUAGCUGCUCCCACUCUGGCGCGGGCUUUCAAGGAAAUUUGUCAAAUCUUUUCCUUUAUGCUGACUAUCUUUAUAUCGGCUAUAUUUAUGCUUAUAAACUCUUGUUCGUUAUUGCAGCAAACCGGCGCAUCGGCGAAAGCCAGGCGUGAAAGUGCCGAUGCCCCCCAGUCUAGCCAACCAAAGAGAAAAGGCACCACAGGUGCUAAGACUGGAACAAAGCGCCAGAAGGUAGCAACUCCCCCUCCUCCUCCGGUGUCUCCAAUUCCGGUGGAGUCUUCUCCUUCUUCUCCAGAAGCCCAGCCACAGCAAGCACCGUCUCCCCAACCUAUGCAGGAAGCACCACAGAUAGAAGAACCCCAGCAGGAAGGAUCCCAAACAGAAGGUACAUCAGCUGAUGUGGGUGGACAAACAACUGGCCCGGAGGGUCCAAUUACACCAUCGGCGGUUCUCCCGAUUCAGACAACCGUUGUUCCACCUCCAGGUAACAUACUUUAACAAUACCGCUACCGAUGAACUUAUUCCCAUUUAGUCUCAUAACUCCUCUUAUCUUCUUUCAGCUGAUAUCGUUCCAUCGGCAACCUCAGCCGAUCAACCUGUAGUUCCAUCGGCAUCUUUGGCCGAUCAGCCUGCAGCUCC
RNAcentral lists this long non-coding RNA (38067 nucleotides) under Sorghum bicolor (sorghum). Its description in RNAcentral is "long non-coding RNA (SBIC_LNC001641)". Lineage: Eukaryota; Viridiplantae; Streptophyta; Magnoliopsida; Poales; Poaceae. The record is from RNAcentral.